UACGAAGGGGGCGAGCGUUGUUCGGAUUUACUGGGCGUAAAGGGCGCGCAGGCGGCUUAUUUUGUCAGGCGUGAAAGCCCCGGGCUUAACCUGGGAGGUGCGUUUGAUACGGAUGGGCUAGAGUUCGGGAGAGGAGCGUGGAAUUCCCAGUGUAGAGGUGAAAUUCGUAGAUAUUGGGAAGAACACCGGUGGCGAAGGCGGCGCUCUGGACCGAGACUGACGCUGAGGCACGAAGGUCAGGGGAGCAAACGGG
RNAcentral lists this ribosomal RNA (253 nucleotides) under uncultured bacterium. RNAcentral's name for it is "partial 16S ribosomal RNA". It matches the Rfam family "Bacterial small subunit ribosomal RNA", at positions 524 to 776 of the family's 1533-position model. The record is from RNAcentral.